AUUGAACGCUGGCGGCAUGCUUUACACAUGCAAGUCGAACGGCAGCGCGGGCUUCGGCCUGGCGGCGAGUGGCGAACGGGUGAGUAAUGCAUCGGAACGUGCCCAGUAGUGGGGGAUAGCCCGGCGAAAGCCGGAUUAAUACCGCAUACGACCUGAGGGUGAAAGCGGGGGACCGAAAGGCCUCGCGCUAUUGGAGCGGCCGAUGUCGGAUUAGCUAGUUGGUGGGGUAAAGGCUUACCAAGGCGACGAUCCGUAGCUGGUCUGAGAGGACGACCAGCCACACUGGGACUGAGACACGGCCCAGACCCCUACGGGAGGCAGCAGUGGGGAAUUUUGGACAAUGGGGGCAACCCUGAUCCAGCCAUGCCGCGUGCGGGAAGAAGGCCUUCGGGUUGUAAACCGCUUUUGUUCGGGAAGAAAUCCUCUGGGCUAAUACCCCGGGGGGAUGACGGUACCGGAAGAAUAAGCACCGGCUAACUACGUG
This 484-nucleotide ribosomal RNA is filed under the name uncultured bacterium. RNAcentral describes it as "partial 16S ribosomal RNA". It matches the Rfam family "Bacterial small subunit ribosomal RNA", at positions 28 to 507 of the family's 1533-position model. The record is from RNAcentral.